GACGAACGCUGGCGGCGUGCUUAACACAUGCAAGUCGAACGGAAAGGCCCUGCUUUUGUGGGGUGCUCGAGUGGCGAACGGGUGAGUAACACGUGAGUAACCUGCCCUUGACUUUGGGAUAACUUCAGGAAACUGGGGCUAAUACCGGAUAGGAGCUCCUGCUGCAUGGUGGGGGUUGGAAAGUUUCGGCGGUUGGGGAUGGACUCGCGGCUUAUCAGCUUGUUGGUGGGGUAGUGGCUUACCAAGGCUUUGACGGGUAGCCGGCCUGAGAGGGUGACCGGCCACAUUGGGACUGGGAUACGGCCCAGACUGCUACGGGAGGCAGCAGUGGGGAAUAUUGCACAAUGGGCGGAAGCCGGAUGCAGCAACGCCGCGUGCGGGAUGACGGCCGUCGGGUUGUAAACCGCUUUCGCCUGUGACGAAGCGUGAGUGACGGUAAUGGGUAAAGAAGCACCGGCUAACUACGUG
RNAcentral lists this ribosomal RNA (468 nucleotides) under uncultured bacterium. Its description in RNAcentral is "partial 16S ribosomal RNA". It matches the Rfam family "Bacterial small subunit ribosomal RNA", at positions 28 to 507 of the family's 1533-position model. The record is from RNAcentral.